RNAcentral lists this ribosomal RNA (468 nucleotides) under uncultured bacterium. RNAcentral's name for it is "partial 16S ribosomal RNA". It matches the Rfam family "Bacterial small subunit ribosomal RNA", at positions 28 to 507 of the family's 1533-position model. The record is from RNAcentral.
GACGAACGCUGGCGGCGUGCUUAACACAUGCAAGUCGAACGGAAAGGCCCUGCUUUUGUGGGGUGCUCGAGUGGCGAACGGGUGAGUAACACGUGAGUAACCUGCCCUUGACUUUGGGAUAACUUCAGGAAACUGGGGCUAAUACCGGAUAGGAGCUCCUGCUGCAUGGUGGGGGUUGGAAAGUUUCGGCGGUUGGGGAUGUACUCGCGGCUUAUCAGCUUGUUGGUGGGGUAGUGGCUUACCAAGGCUUUGACGGGUAGCCGGCCUGCGAGGGUGACCGGCCACAUUGGGACUGGGCUACGGCCCAGACUCCUACGGGAGGCAGCAGUGGGGAAUAUUGCACAAUGGGCGGAAGCCUGAUGCAGCAACGCCGCGUGCGGGAUGACGGCCUUCGGGUUGUAAACCGCUUUCGCCUGUGACGAAGCGUGAGUGACGGUAAUGGGUAAAGAAGCACCGGCUAACUACGUG